GACGAACGCUGGCGGCGUGCUUAACACAUGCAAGUCGAACGGAAAGGCCCUGCUUUUGUGGGUUUCUCGAGUGGCGAACGGGUGAGUAACACGUGAGUAACCUGCCCUUGAAUUUGGGAUAACUUCACGGAACUGGGGCUAAUACCGGGUAGGAUCUCCUGCUGCAUGAUGGGGGUUGGAAAAUUUCGGCGGUUGGGGAUGGACUCGCGGCUUAUCAGCUUGUUGGUGGGGUAGUGGUUGACCAAGGCUUUGACGGGUAGCCGGCAUGAGAGGGUGACCGGGCACAUGGCGCCUGAGAGACGGCGCAGACUCGUACGGGCGGCAGCAGUGGGGAAUCUUGCACAAUGGGGGGAAGCCUGAGGCAGCAAUGUCGCGUGCGGGAUGACGGCUUUUGGGUUGUAAACCGAUUUGGAAUGUGAUGAAGAGUGAGUGACGGUAAUGGGUAAAGAAGCAACGGCUAACUACGUG
RNAcentral lists this ribosomal RNA (468 nucleotides) under uncultured bacterium. Its description in RNAcentral is "partial 16S ribosomal RNA". It matches the Rfam family "Bacterial small subunit ribosomal RNA", at positions 28 to 507 of the family's 1533-position model. The record is from RNAcentral.